ACCUGCUUGAUUCAAAGUAAUUCACUUGUUGGUAAUAGCCAACAAAGCUUCAAGAGACUUUGAAAAAGUAAAUCAAAAUAAUUACAUUGAAGAAUGGAAGAGAAUCCUCUCUCCGUGGAAGAACAAGAUCAGCUUAAUCAUAGUAUCAAAAAAGCUAGAAGGGCUCGGAUCAGGCAUCGGGCUAGUGAAGACAAUCAAGACUUUCCUCUAAAAGAUUGCUUUGGAAGUUUACCAGACGGCGGAAAGCGAAAAUUUUCGUACCAUGAAAUGGUUUUGGGAGACACGAAUGAAGAUCUUGAGAUGGGUGUUGAAAAUCUACUGGAAGAUGAUCUCAGUGAUGAAGAAGUAGAAUCGCAUCCCUUGGAUGAUGUAAAAUUUUUGAAAGAACAAUAGAAGAAUUUUAGGGCACCGUGGAGGUUAACCCUAAUCAUAAAAGUAAUAGGCAAGACUUUUGGUUAUCAAUUUCUCCUCCGAAGGUUAAUGGCAAUUUGGAAAUCUAAAGGGGAAUUCAAGUUGAUCAGUCUCAGCAAUGAUUUCUUUAUUGCGCACCUGGAAUUGAAAGAGGAUCGAGACAGAGUCCUUAUGGACGGCCCUUGGAAGAUUUUAGACUACUAUCUGGCGAUUCGUGGCUGGUCUCCCAAAUUCAGGCCAUCAACAGUGACUAUUGACAGGGCUGCUUUGUGGGUUUGCAUCCCUGAUUGCCCGAUGGAACUUUAUAAUGAGACAGAGAUGAAUGAAAUCAGUGAUUUCAUAAGCAAGUGUUGGGUUUUUGUGGGAUAGGAUACUAACCUCUUGUAGCGUCGCAGCGGAAUUCACGAAAACCAAGUCACGGUCGAGGAUCAAUCACGGAUGGAAAGAUCUCACGAUUCACUGCCUGAAUUCUUCCAGUGGUGAAGAACUUUGAGACAAUCCAACACUCUCUUCCUUCUCUGUGUUUUACAGAACACUCACUCUUUUGCUUUCUAGGGAAAUUCUCACGAAUGACACACACAGAGUGAGGAGGGAGUUGAGAGAUAUUAACAUAACUGCUCCCUUAUUUUCAAAUUCAAAAUGAAUUUGAAUUUCUCGAUUUUAUUAAAUCCUACAGCAAGACUCUAAAAAUUGAUUUCAAGACCCAAUCCCGGGAAAUGGAUCACUUUGCAAGAAUCUGCGUUGAGGUGGAUCUUACGAAGAAGCUCGUACAAGACUUUACAAUUUUAGGAGAAAUGUAUGGAAUAUAAUCCAAUAUGAAGGGAUACAUUUAGUCUAUUUCAAUUGUGGUUGUAUGAGCACAAAUUGGAGGAGUGUCCCUUGAGAUGCCAUACUAAGACGAAGGCCAAUGAUAAUUCAUUUGGAACACCAGACCCCAUUGGAGGAGAUUCGAGGGAUCCAAAGGAAAGCAAUAUCCUGGAGUUUCCACAAAAGUCUUUAAUAGCAAUGCAAGUUUCUCAGCCAAAACCUUCACCCGGACAUGGACCUUGGUUGCUAGUGGAUCAUUCCAAGAGAAAGGGAGGAGGAAAACCACCUCGUACAAGGUCAGAGAGAGGGGCCUGUUGAAACUCAAGAUUCAAUUGGAAGACGAAAACCUUGUUGGAUGGACAAAGAUUAUAACCCUAGGGACAUGGACUCAAACCAAGAGGACGAUCUUGAUCCAGAAUCACCAAUCCCUUGCAAGGGGUUUUUCGAUUCUGUUGGGGCUUCAACAAGUGAGACGUUGAGUAGGAAGAGCGAUUACCAUCAGGCCCAGAUAAUGAAUCUGGGGGAUGUCAAUGUUGUUAUGCAUCAGAGAGAUGAAGAUGCACCUCAGGCAAUGGAGUACGCUUCAAGCGAACAAGGAAUGGAGAUAUCAGCAGCAGGGGUCAUUCCUACAGGGAAGUAACUCUAAACUAUCAUAGUUUUAAUGAUUUUUAUGUCUUGAAAUUGUAGGAGGGCUGGUGGCCCCCGUUUUAAAUAUGUUCUUAGGGAUAUGAUCCAAGCUUACAAUACGGAUGUUCUAGUAAUCUUAGAACCCAAAAUUAGUGGUAACGUGGCUAAUAGAGUUUGUGGUAGUUUUGCUAGAUUUUCUUAUACUCACAUUGAAGCUUUAAGAUUUAAGGGUGGCAUAUGGGUGUUGUGGCAA
Molecule: non-coding RNA, 2098 nt
Organism: Momordica charantia (bitter melon)
Lineage: Eukaryota; Viridiplantae; Streptophyta; Magnoliopsida; Cucurbitales; Cucurbitaceae
Source: RefSeq, a predicted model, not a curated record